AGUGUCAAGGGAUGGGAAUCGAACCCACGACCUUCCGCUUACCGGGCAGAUGCCAUGACCACUAGGCCAAAUGACC
Molecule: transfer RNA, 76 nt
Filed under: Cordylochernes scorpioides
Lineage: Eukaryota; Metazoa; Arthropoda; Arachnida; Pseudoscorpiones; Chernetidae
Description: tRNA-Thr
Source: RNAcentral